Molecule: long non-coding RNA, 1729 nt
Organism: Brassica oleracea var. oleracea
Lineage: Eukaryota; Viridiplantae; Streptophyta; Magnoliopsida; Brassicales; Brassicaceae
Exons: 2
Source: RefSeq, a predicted model, not a curated record
UUUCAAACGACUGAUUGAAAAAGCUGAAUCCAAACGAUUCCCUUUCCAAUUCCCCGACGACGUUACAAUCUGCUGUUAUGGCCUUCAGGAAACAAACCCCACAAUCACCUUUGUAUCUUCAAUACGUUGUUUUCAGUUUAUAAUAUAAACCUUCCCAGUUGCCUCUCCAAUUUCCUUCCGAUUCAUCUUCACUUUUAAUUACUCUUAGACAAAGCUUUCCCUAAUGAGAAUUUCGCAGCCUCAAUUAUCCUGAAGGCAGGCAGCCCGGAAUGUCAAAAAAUGAGGUCAAUUGAUGGGCGUCCAUAUGCUGCUGCUAGAUUCCAAGGUAUGUGAGCUUACACCUCCAGUCACGGGCAUAUUAAAAUUUACUCUCUGCUCCAGUUGCAACCAAAGGCAUAAGCGUCAACGAACUUGUGACAUGGAUGGUUUUUGGAGAGGUACCAAAGCGUUGUUGGUUGGAUUCUUAGGGAUGGGAAGGGAGAAAUGAAGUGUCUUAGAGAAGCCUCAUCUAUUUUGAGGUCCUUUACUGUCUUGUGAGAUGAAGCAGAAGCAUUGAUAUGGAGUGUUAUUUGUAUACUUGGGCUAUAAGAAAUUCUGAAUUUUACCACCUUGGCUCUGACCAAUCUGAAGUUAGGGGUGGUCAGCUGUUUCAAGGAAAGUGACGUCUCAUAGUUCAAUUUAUACUUUUGUUUGCUUAGCGUGUGGUAUAAAUAUUGAUGAAUAGCGGAAGAAAACAGAGAUUUUAGUAAGCAUCGCAGAUGGAUUCUGUUAAUGGUGUGAGUUUCGAGUUCGGCGAAGCAAAUGGUUUACUCUAAAAGUUUGCGGGAGAAAAGCCUAUGUAAAAGUCAGUGGAAUCUCUUGAAGCAGAACUGAAGAAUGUGAAGAAAUAGCACAGUGGAGCUGAAAUCGAAUAAAUGGGUAGAGAUCUCCAUCCGGAGCGUAGCAAAAGUGAGACUGACCUAGAACAAUGUGUGGCAGAAAAAUCUGAAGCAAACGCCGCUUACGAAGUUAUCUUCGAGAUAGAAGCUGCUCGACGAGAAGUUGAGCUACAUUUUGAGGGUCGCACUAGAUAAAGUCGAGGAAGCAAAAGCUGCCGCGGUAUGUGCUUGACCACAUAAAGUCAAUGUCUGAAAAUUCAACAGUUGCCCGAAUUUGUAAUACCGCGCCAUCUGAGUGUGGAGCUAAGAGCAUCACACUAUGUCUGGAGGAUUUUAAGUCGCUGAGCGAAGGAGCUAAGCAAUUCGAUAAGUUGGUGAAUAUGAAAGUGGCAGCUGCGCUGGCUCAGGUAGGCGCAGUUAGAGCUAGCGAAAUCAAGACACUGAGGCACACAAGAGGAGAUUGAGAAGCUAAAGACUGCAACAGAAGACACACUGGAUAAAGCACCCAGGGCUGAUGCUGCUGAGUAUGCAGUUGAAGGAGAACUCAGGAGGUGUCAGGUAAGAUAUCUGAAUAAAGCACAGAGGAAGCAGCUUCGAGGAUUAUUGCAAAGGCUGAGGCGAUGAUUCCGCUGAAUCUUCACCGCAAAGUCACUACAAAGCUACGAAACGUAAACAAAUCCACACAAACUCGAGAAGACAAAAACUUUUGUGGUAUAUAAAAGUGGUUUUACCGAAUUUAAGUGUAAUAGUUAAUAGAAAUAAGAAUCAAGUGGAAUGGGGUUCUCCUUAUCUCUAUGGAGAGAAAUCCUUUUUGAUGUAUACUUUCUUUUUAAGAGUUGAGAACUUUCGUU